RNAcentral lists this ribosomal RNA (392 nucleotides) under uncultured bacterium. Its description in RNAcentral is "bacterial SSU rRNA". It matches the Rfam family "Bacterial small subunit ribosomal RNA", at positions 29 to 446 of the family's 1533-position model. The record is from RNAcentral.
AGCGAACGCUGGCGGCAGGCCUAACACAUGCAAGUCGAGCGCCCGUAGCAAUACGGGAGCGGCAGACGGGUGAGUAACACGUGGGAACGUACCCUUCGGUUCGGAAUAACCCAGGGAAACUUGGAUUAAUACCGAAUACGUCCGUAAGGAGAAAGAUUUAUCGCCGAAGGAUCGGCCCGCGUCCGAUUAGCUUGUUGGUGGGGUAAUGGCCCACCAAGGCUACGAUCGGUAGCUGGUCUGAGAGGAUGAUCAGCCACACUGGGACUGAGACACGGCCCAGACUCCUACGGGAGGCAGCAGUGGGGAAUAUUGGACAAUGGGCGCAAGCCUGAUCCAGCCAUGCCGCGUGGGUGAUGAAGGCCCUAGGGUUGUAAAGCCCUUUCGGCGGGAAG